CAAAAACAUGUCCUUUUGUUAUUUAUAUAAGGUCUAACCUGCCCAAUGACUUAAGUUGAAUGGCCGCGGUAUUUUAACUGUGCUAAGGUAGCAUAAUCACUUGUCUUUUAAUUGAAGGCUUGUAUGAAUGGUUGGACGAGAUAUAUACUUUCUUUGUUUUAAUUUAAAAACUUAACUUCUUAGUUAAAAGGCUAAGAUUAAAUUAUAGGACGAGAAGACCCUAUAGAUCUUUAUAUUAUUUUAAGUUAAUAUUAUGGUAAUUAUAAUUGUAAUAUAAUAUUUGGUUGGGGUGACUUCAGAAUUUAAAAAACUUCUGAUUUAAUUUUUCAUUAAUUAAUGUUUAAUUGAUCCAAUUUUAUUGAUUAAAAGUUUAAGUUACCUUAGGGAUAACAGCGUAAUUCUCUUGGAGAGUUCUCAUCGAUAAGGGAGUUUGCGACCUCGAUGUUGGAUUAAAGUAAGUUAUGGGUGCAGUAGCCCAUGUACUAGGUCUGUUCGACCUUUAAUUCUUUACAUGAUCUGAGUUCAAACC
RNAcentral lists this ribosomal RNA (529 nucleotides) under Hagia sp. 00004759. RNAcentral's name for it is "partial 16S ribosomal RNA". It matches the Rfam family "Bacterial large subunit ribosomal RNA", at positions 1808 to 2617 of the family's 2925-position model. The record is from RNAcentral. Lineage: Eukaryota; Metazoa; Arthropoda; Insecta; Hemiptera; Reduviidae.